UGGCAAUGAUGAUAGCAAAGGCCGGUCUUACAGCUGCUCUGGUUCCUAUCAGUAGGUAGCAGGAUGAUGCUUACUGCUAAGGGUAUUUUCUGAGCCAG
Non-coding RNA from Picea glauca (white spruce), 98 nucleotides. The record is from Rfam. NCBI's taxonomy places the organism in Eukaryota, Viridiplantae, Streptophyta, Pinopsida, Pinales, Pinaceae.